RNAcentral lists this small RNA (586 nucleotides) under Pan troglodytes (chimpanzee). RNAcentral describes it as "processed transcript". Lineage: Eukaryota; Metazoa; Chordata; Mammalia; Primates; Hominidae. The record is from RNAcentral.
GAAGGUUGCAUAUAACAGCUCAGGAAGCUGUGAGAUAGAGAAGAUCGUGGGCUCAGAAAUAGACAGUACGGGAAAAUUCGCUUUUCCUGGCCACAGAGAGAUCCACGUGCUGGACACUGACUACGAGGGCUACGCCAUCCUGCGGGUGUCCCUGAUGUGGCGGGGCAGGAACUUUCGCGUCCUCAAGUACUUUAGUAAGCUUGGCCCUGGGGGGCUCUGCCCAGCUGCUGCCCUCCCAGGGACUGCCCGCCCAGCCCCCCUGUGCCCCACAGCUCGGAGCCUUGAGGACAAGGACCAGCUGGGGUUCUGGAAGUUUCGGGAGGUGACAGCAGACACUGGUCUCUACCUGGCGGCCCGGCCUGGGCGGUGUGCCGAGCUCCUGAAGGAGGAGCUGAUUUAAUGGAGUUCUGUGGGGCCUCCGGAGACCACGCGGGCCUGAGCCCCUGCACUUCUGUGUCGCAGGAGCUGAUUUAAUGGAGUUCCUGCCUCAGACCACGAGGUUCGGAGCGCCCGCCCACCCCGGCCCCUCCUGGGCACCCUGCCCACCAGGUCACCUGCACCUGCUCUGAAUAAACUGUGAAGUCAA